This 1043-nucleotide long non-coding RNA is filed under the name Oryctolagus cuniculus (rabbit). Its description in RNAcentral is "lncRNA (ENSOCUG00000038636.1)". Lineage: Eukaryota; Metazoa; Chordata; Mammalia; Lagomorpha; Leporidae. The record is from RNAcentral.
ACAGAAAAACAAAGUUAUGGUAGAAUAUUGAGCAUAAUGGAGGGCAAAAAUUUCUGAGGUUCCUAAGGUUACAACCAUGGAAAAUAUGCAUGAAGGAGGGAAGAGGCAAAGCAUCUGUUAGUGUGGGGUAGUUGGAUCUGGGUAGUUUGCAGAGCAGUUCCUUUCUUCUUGUGUCACCUUUUUAAUUUUAAAAAAGUAAACUAUAACAUAAAUGAAACCAAUUCCUUCUAAACACUGCCUUUGGUUUUGGCUGCUCAGGUGUGCUAAAUUGAGAACUUGGAAUGAGGUCGUUCAUGGAACCUCAGGGGGUGCAGAUGCCAGACUCAGCAGCAAUAGCAGGGGGUGCACAUUGCCAUGCCCUGCAAGCCCUAGUCCAUUCAGUAAGUGGCUCCAGCCCACUCUGCAUGGCCCUGGCCCCUGCUGUGGGAGGCAGGUGAUCCCAUCCAGCCAGAUCAUCUCUGUUAUCCUCAUGACUCCUGGGGCCACAGCUAGUGCAGGAGUUUUGCGGUAUUGAUGAUACAAGAAACACAUGCCUUUUAAGAAAGGAGGAAGAACUUCAGUUGCACACCAUUUUCCAAGUGAGUACUUGAUGUUGUGGAUUUUGGGUUCCACAAUAGGACUGCAUAUUCUUUGACAGUUUUCUGACGCGGUCCCAUCCUGUUGAAUGUGGAUGGGUUUGUGACUACUUCACCAAGAGAGUAGGGCACAAGGGAUUCUGUGUGACUUCUGAGGCUAGAUCAAGGGAUCCAAGCAGUUUCUGCCUGGCUUUCUGGAAUUCUCACCCCUGGAACCCUGAGCCUCUGUGUGGUAAGUCUGACAACUUAUGGUGCUGUAAUGGAGAGGUCACAUUUAGGUACCCUGAGCCCCCCUUCUACACCUUUGAGAUAAAUCUAGCCAAGCCAUUUGUAACAAGUCCAUGCAUUCAAGUCUUUCUGGCUGGAUACCUAGACCUUGUAGAGUAGGUUUGAACCAUCCCUCAUCUGCCCAAUCCAGAUUUCUGACCCACUAAAUCUGAGAGAAUAAUAAAAUGAUGUUCUGUGACA